UGGGGGAUCGUCUAAUGGUAGGACGAUUGGCUCUGGACCAAUUGAUCGGGGUUCGAAUCCCUGUCCCCCAG
Molecule: transfer RNA, 71 nt
Filed under: bacterium
Lineage: Bacteria
Also listed under: 1 other name
Description: tRNA-Gln
Rfam family: tRNA
About the family: Transfer RNA (tRNA) molecules are approximately 80 nucleotides in length.
Source: RNAcentral